CUCGCGUUCAAUGAUGAACAUGGGCAUAAUAAUAUAAAUUAAUUUAGGUAUAGUUAAUAUUUAAAUAACAAACAUAUCCUUAAUUGCAAAGUGUGAACGUCACCUUCCUUUCCAUAUUCUCGACCGGGGAAAAAACUGUUCGCAGAAGUCCUUGCUACGGGAAGAGCACAAACGACAAAGAUGAAUCGAAUUGUGGUUCUGCGAGCGAAGCUUUUCCAAAAACAAGAUUAAUAAUACUCCACUGGACAGAACCAGACUGAUUUGAGAACAUAUGUUUUCGCCGCUUCCACACGGUGAAACCCACAGAUGCAAAAGCGUCAUCGCGAAUAGCUUUGGAACCAAAUCAACAACAAAAGCGCAACCUAC
Molecule: long non-coding RNA, 366 nt
Organism: Armigeres subalbatus
Lineage: Eukaryota; Metazoa; Arthropoda; Insecta; Diptera; Culicidae
Exons: 3
Source: RefSeq, a predicted model, not a curated record